Molecule: transfer RNA, 76 nt
Filed under: Streptomyces actuosus
Lineage: Bacteria; Bacillati; Actinomycetota; Actinomycetes; Kitasatosporales; Streptomycetaceae
Also listed under: 56 other names
Description: tRNA-Glu
Rfam family: tRNA
About the family: Transfer RNA (tRNA) molecules are approximately 80 nucleotides in length. Their secondary structure includes four short double-helical elements and three loops (D, anti-codon, and T loops).
Source: RNAcentral
GCCCCCGUUGUGUAGCGGCCUAGCACGCCGCCCUCUCAAGGCGGUAGCGCCGGUUCGAAUCCGGUCGGGGGUACAA